UCCUUGGUGGCUCAGAGGGUAAAGAAUCUGCCUGCAGUGCAGGAGACCCAGGUUCGAUCCCUGGGUCGGGAA
Molecule: transfer RNA, 72 nt
Filed under: Ovis aries (sheep)
Lineage: Eukaryota; Metazoa; Chordata; Mammalia; Artiodactyla; Bovidae
Rfam family: tRNA
About the family: Transfer RNA (tRNA) molecules are approximately 80 nucleotides in length.
Source: Rfam by way of RNAcentral